CGGAGCAUAGCUCAGUGGAUAGAGCAGUGGUUUCCGGUACCAUGUGCGGUGGUUCAACUCCAUCUGUUCCGA
This 72-nucleotide transfer RNA is filed under the name Caudoviricetes sp. RNAcentral's name for it is "tRNA-Arg". It matches the Rfam family "tRNA". Rfam says of the family: Transfer RNA (tRNA) molecules are approximately 80 nucleotides in length. Their secondary structure includes four short double-helical elements and three loops (D, anti-codon, and T loops). The record is from RNAcentral. Lineage: Duplodnaviria; Heunggongvirae; Uroviricota; Caudoviricetes.